RNAcentral lists this long non-coding RNA (259 nucleotides) under Lathyrus oleraceus (garden pea). RNAcentral's name for it is "Pisum sativum (pea) long non-coding RNA (PSAT_LNC040950)". The record is from RNAcentral. Lineage: Eukaryota; Viridiplantae; Streptophyta; Magnoliopsida; Fabales; Fabaceae.
GGACGUGACAACCUUCAGGCUUGCUGAGGAGACAACGAUCUCGAAUCUGCCAGGGAGAUCACACUCUUAAUCCUCUGGGGAGAUACAGCCUGUUUGACGGGGGUGUCGGUCGACUCGUCGAACACUGGUAUCCAUCAUCCACCCAUAGUGUUGACUUUCCUCUUUUACGAACUCUCAGACUCUUCUGGACUUUUCUGCUCCAUCAUCUUGUAUUCCAAAUCUCGUCCGUACUCCACGGGGAUCGAACUCCUGGUAUUCA